GCCACUGCUAUUGGGGUUUGGCUAAGCCAUGCGAGUGGAGGGCGUCCCGCAAGGGAUGGCCCCGCAGACGGCUCAGUAACACGUCGUCAACCCACCUUAGGGUGGGGGACAACCUCGGGAAACUGAGGAUAAUCCCCCAUAGGCGGGGGAGGCUGGAAUGCGCCCCCGCUGAAAGCUCAGGCGCCCUAGGACGGGACGGCGGCCUAUCAGGUAGUUGGUGGUGUGACG
RNAcentral lists this ribosomal RNA (228 nucleotides) under uncultured archaeon. Its description in RNAcentral is "partial 16S ribosomal RNA". It matches the Rfam family "Archaeal small subunit ribosomal RNA", at positions 23 to 246 of the family's 1478-position model. The record is from RNAcentral.